UCUCUUUUAUUUUCUUUUAUACUUGUAUGAAGAAGCACAUUUAGGCAUGUCAUUUGAACUGUUUAU
Molecule: non-coding RNA, 66 nt
Filed under: Plasmodium falciparum 3D7
Lineage: Eukaryota; Apicomplexa; Aconoidasida; Haemosporida; Plasmodiidae
Source: RNAcentral